GGCUCUGGAGAGCUCACUGGCUCCUUCCCAUGAUGCAGACGCGGAGGGAAGGGCUGGCUGCGAUUCUGGAAGAGAGCUCUCACCAAAACAUACCCACACUGGUGCCCUGAUCUUGGACUUCCCAACCUCUGAACUACAAACAGGGGCCUGCAGGCCUGGCUCCUCUCUGAAGCACAGUGUCAGCUCCAGCGAGACAAUGUGUCACAGAGACUAAGGUGUGUGCAGUCAGGAGGAUGAUUGGAGAAGGAACCUCCUCCUGGAAAGAAGUAAAAAAAUAUGUCUAUAAUACGACCAGCCACCAAAGCAGGCAUCGAUCUGAGAUGCUGGCCAGAGAGGGUGAAUUCAGGUGUGGGGCCCCACUGGAUAUGACUGAAGACCAGCCACCAGAGGAAAUUUAAGCAGAGGAGAGGAGAGAACCUGACUUAAGGGCUGGCUCUGUGGCUGCUUUCAGAGAAAUCUCCGCUGUCUCCUAACCUGCUUCGUCCUCAGUUUCCUCAUCAUGGACAUAAUGACAGCUUCUACCUCAGGUGUCCUGAGGCAACACAUCAUGUGCCAUCAAAAUACCAGUACCUUGUGCAGGAUGAUUGUGUUGAAACAAUUCUGGCAGUUUCGCAUGUGAAACAUAUCUUGUGAGUCUUGGUUCCCCGGUAGGCAAGCUGCUGAGUCAAGCUGUUUGUCAAGGUCAAAGGAUACUGCCAUACAGGAGGCAGGUAGAGGAGGAGGCAAAAGUCACUUCUCCCAGAAGCUAUAAAUCAAAAGGUUACUUGAAACUACUGAAUCAAAAUCUCCUAUUGAGGGUGCCUCCUGAGUCUCUAUCACCCUACAGUCCCCAGGACAACUGGACAUGAGAAAGGCAUUAUUACCACACUCAACAAAUAGCCCCAACCUCAGGAUACUGAAGAUGGUGACUCUGCUGAUGUUUUGCCUCCAGGAAGAUCACAUGCUACCAGUUGAAAGAACUUAAGGAGAUCUCAGUCAACCCUUCCAGGAAAGUGCACAGCUUGCCCUUCUACUCUGAGAUGGUCUCUGGCCAAGAUCUAAUCACAAAAAGCAUUUCAGAGCAAAAACUAAAUCAUUUAAGAAAUCCUAGGCAUGUUAGGCACAAAUGGAGGGUAAUUGUGAAGAGAGUUAUCCAAGAAAGUGAUGUUCCAUAGCCCUGUUCCUGGUACUUUUUUAUUUAUUUUUUCCAAAUUGCAGGUCACAAAUCAUUAGUGGGUCACAAAAUAUAUUAAAUUGGCUGUAAUGAGCAUUUCUUUAAAAAGUAAGUGAAAAAGAUGAUAAUAGAGUGGAAUGGGAUAAAAUAGAAUAGAAUACAAUAGAAUAGAAUAGGAUAGGGGAGUUCCCGUCACAGGGCAUCGGAAAUAAAUCCCCCUAGGAAACAUGAGGUUGUGGGUUCCAACCCUGGCCUUGCUCAGUGGGUUAAGGAUCCUGCGUUGCUGUGGCUGUGGUGUAGCUGCAAUUUGACCCCUAGCCUGGGAACCUCCAUAUGCCACAGGUGCAGCUCUAAAAAGCAAAAAAAAAAAAGGAUAGGAUAGGAAACGCAGAAGGUCACCUUAUGUAGUAAGGGUAAGUAUUAUUUUAGGAACAUUUUUUAUCAGUUGUAUAUUUAUAUAUGUGUGCGCAAGGUCCAAUGUAAAAUGUCUUUUUACUGUCGAAUGAAUCAAACCACGUUGAUACUCAAAAGCUUGGAGUCCAACACACCAGGGUUUUGCCUCCUCACAGCAGCUACUUUCUAAUUAAGUGCCCUUGGGUAAGUUAUUAAAUCUCUUUAAUUUAAUCUCUUCAGCAACCACAACAGAAUUCUGAGCUAUCUCAGGACUCCUUAAUGUCUGUAAAUGAAUAAAUUACUGGGCUCAGAGACUUAGUUUUCUACCUGAGGAUCAGCAGGCCUAGAACCUUGCUUCCGAACUUAGUUUGCAAUGUGGUCUUGCCCAAACUAUGUAACAGUAUUGCACUUUUGUUUUGUUUCAAUUAAAAAAUGUGGGAAAUAAAAAUCAUUUUUUAAAAAUGUAGGUUAUUCAUAGCAACUACCUCAUAGAUCUGCUGUGAAAUUUUAAUUGCCAUCAUAUAUACAAACCACUUAGCACAAUGUCAUGCCACUCCCUCCAAAAUGCCACUUUAGUCUAUUAUUUUGAUUAUUCUGAGCUGAAGGAGAUGGAGCAACAGCAAAUGCAGAGGGGCUCUCUGACCUCCCCUUUUCCUCCUGAAGCAGGACAUAAGAUUUCCCGUGUGAAAGGUGUCCUCUCCGUACCAGGAAGAGGGGAACAUCUUAUCACCGGAGACCGGGUGCUGACUCCAAAAUGGGCCUGCACAAACAAAGCUGCUAAAAUGACCCUUAUCUUCCAGUAGUUUCCCUCCUAGAUUUCCUAGUCACAAUUUACUGCCCCAUGAAGCUUAAACCCCUUUUCCUUUGCCUUGUCAUUCCUUCACAAUUGAUCAUUCUUUGUUAAAAAGAUAUAUAAGCUCUUGGACCUAACUACUUCUUUGGGUCUCCCUUUUUCCUAUGAAGGCUUCUGUGUAUGUGUAAAACUAUUAAAUAAAGUUUGUAUGUUUUUCUUCUGUUAAUCUCUCUUUUGCUAAUUCAUUUCACAGGCCCCAGCUGCAGAAAUGAAGAGGAUAAAGGAAAGUUCUUUUUCAGCCAUUACACCUGAUACAUAGUAAAUGGUCAAUAAAUGGGAUUUGUUCCUGUUGGUGUUAUUCAUAAAAGUAUCCCUUGCCUCCUCUCUUUUCUAUAUGAAAGGAAGGAAAAGCAUGGAGAAAGGGGGCAAAACCUAAGACCAUUCAAUGAUUCAUAGAUCUGCUAAGCAUGAAAGCUUCUCUAGGAAAUUAAAAACAUUUUAAAAAAUCUAAAUAUGUGAGCCAUUAAGAUAUUGUUCUAGUGGAAAUGAAAUACUCCACACAUUCAUACUGCAGUGGAGGCAGAUCUGAUGGUGGCGCUCUGCCUUAUGGAUGGCCUUUAUCACCACAGGUCCUCCCUGAGAGGGAAACUACACCAGGUCUCCAUGGACUAUGACUCAGAUCAGACUGACUCGAGCCUUAGCAUGUGUCCCAUGUUGUGUUAAUUUGGCUGCCUCUUUGCAUCCUGUGGAAAAGUCCACUAAGAAGACAACAUAUUCAAGCACAUGCUUCAAACUGUCUUCUCUCAGCCCAACUGGAAUGUCUUCCUGAUUUAUCAAAUGGGCUUCUUUUCGGUCUUUGAAACUGAAUUAACAGAAUAAGCAAGCAACAUAUAAGUAAGUGACAUUGAAAAUGAAUAGCAGCAAACCAAAUUAUUGAUAUACAAUGCAGAUAGUUUUCUAAUGUUAGUUCACUCUCUGUUAGUUGGGUCAGACAGGCUGGUUCUGCUUCUAUUUCACAAAAGAGGAGGGAGAGCAGUUACCAAAAAUCAAAGACGCAAUGGUUAACAAGAUUAUUUCUCAGCAUCAAAUGUACAUUGGCUAUUAGCAGGUUUAAUACAUCUAUAAGAUAGAAAUGAUCAUUAAUAACCAUUAUUAUUACUGUUACCAAAAUAAACAUUACACCUAGAACAUCACAUACAUAUCAAAACAUGUGACAGAUGCUAUCCAAAAAGAAAAUUUAACUACAACAUCAACCUUUUAAUGCCACUCUGAAGAUGAAUGAAUAAUCCUGGUUAUCUCUGCCCCUCUCCACUACUCCAUAGAAACCUGAGCACAUUUACCCAGUGGAUGAGCAGAGCAGGCAGUUGUGUUUGUCUCCUCACCAAGUACAGAGAUGAACCCUAUGAUUCUCACCUGAGACCAGUGAAACAGGAACUCAGGGCUAGUGUGACAGGCAACUAAGAAUCUGGCUAGUUUAUGACAGGAUGGGAGUGUCCUAGAAAUUCACCAACUGGGAGAAGGCACAGGCAAGAAGGAACUCUGAGAGGAUGGGGAGAUCAGCUAUGAAAUACUCAGGAACAGUCUUUGGGAUUGGGGCUGUACUGAUUCAGAAUUUCUGAAGAGUUUAAACGUCAUAUGAGGUUGGGGAAUGGACAAAAAAUAAGUUUGGGGAUGAAGGCAAGAUCUUUAUAAGACCUACUUUUUUUUUGCUGAAAAAAAAAAAAGCAAAAAUAAAGCCCCCCCCCAAAAAA
Molecule: non-coding RNA, 4090 nt
Organism: Sus scrofa (pig)
Lineage: Eukaryota; Metazoa; Chordata; Mammalia; Artiodactyla; Suidae
Source: RefSeq, a predicted model, not a curated record